UGUUAGGGCCAUGCCAUCCUGAACAAGCCCGAUCCCGUCUGAUCUUGGAAGCUAAGCAGGGUCGGGCCUGGUUAAUACUUGGAUGGGAGACCACCUAGGAAGCCCACGUGCUGUAGGCA
This 119-nucleotide ribosomal RNA is filed under the name Pteropus alecto (black flying fox). The record is from RNAcentral. Lineage: Eukaryota; Metazoa; Chordata; Mammalia; Chiroptera; Pteropodidae.